CCCUUAGAUGUUCUGGGCCGCACGCGCGCUACACUGACGAAUGCAACGAGCUUAUAACCUUGGCCGAAAGGUCUGGGUAAUCUCCAAAUUUCGUCGUGAUGGGGAUAGAUUAUUGCAAUUAUUAAUCUUCAACGAGGAAUGCCUAGUAAGCGCAAGUCAUCAGCUUGCGUUGAUUACGUCCCUGCCCUUUGUACACACCGCCCGUCGCUCCUACCGAUUGAAUGGUCCGGUGAAGCGUUCGGACCGUGGCCUUUGGACGGUUCGCCGUCUGUUGGCUGCGGGAAGUUCGUUAAACCUUAUCGUUUAGAGGAAGGAGAAGUCGUANCA
Molecule: ribosomal RNA, 327 nt
Filed under: uncultured eukaryote
Lineage: Eukaryota
Description: partial 18S ribosomal RNA
Rfam family: Eukaryotic small subunit ribosomal RNA
Source: RNAcentral